UGUUCAUAACUAAUUUUUCUUGAAAAUAAAAAUAUUUUAUUACCUUUUGCAACAAUAUGCCUCAAAAAAAAAUGUGAAAAUAAUUCUUUGCAAUAAAAAAUAUUGAAUAUUGAAAUUGUUCAAGUGUAUGAAUAAAAAGGUAUUUGUCGUUUAAAGGUUAACAUGGGUAUUUGCUCAGAUGGUUAACGAAAGAAAAUCUACAAAGAGAUGUACC
RNAcentral lists this long non-coding RNA (214 nucleotides) under Elaeis guineensis (African oil palm). RNAcentral describes it as "long non-coding RNA (EGUI_LNC076817)". The record is from RNAcentral. Lineage: Eukaryota; Viridiplantae; Streptophyta; Magnoliopsida; Arecales; Arecaceae.